This 911-nucleotide ribosomal RNA is filed under the name Shigella sonnei. Its description in RNAcentral is "partial 23S ribosomal RNA". It matches the Rfam family "Bacterial large subunit ribosomal RNA", at positions 1 to 944 of the family's 2925-position model. The record is from RNAcentral. Lineage: Bacteria; Pseudomonadati; Pseudomonadota; Gammaproteobacteria; Enterobacterales; Enterobacteriaceae.
GGGUUGUGAGGUUAAGCGACUAAGUGUACACGGUGGAUGCCCUGGCAGUCAGAGGCGAUGAAGGACGUGCUAAUCUGCGAUAAGCGUCGGUAAGGUGAUAUGAACCGUUAUAACCGGCGAUUUCCGAAUGGGGAAACCCAGUGUGUUUCGACACACUAUCAUUAACUGAAUCCAUAGGUUAAUGAGGCGAACCGGGGGAACUGAAACAUCUAAGUACCCCGAGGAAAAGAAAUCAACCGAGAUUCCCCCAGUAGCGGCGAGCGAACGGGGAGGAGCCCAGAGCCUGAAUCAGUGUGUGUGUUAGUGGAAGCGUCUGGAAAGGCGCGCGAUACAGGGUGACAGCCCCGUACACAAAAAUACACAUAUUGUGAGCUCGAUGAGUAGGGCGGGACACGUGGUAUCCUGUCUGAAUAUGGGGGGACCAUCCUCCAAGGCUAAAUACUCCUGACUGACCGAUAGUGAACCAGUACCGUGAGGGAAAGGCGAAAAGAACCCCGGCGAGGGGAGUGAAAAAGAACCUGAAACCGUGUACGUACAAGCAGUGGGAGCACGCUUAGGCGUGUGACUGCGUACCUUUUGUAUAAUGGGUCAGCGACUUAUAUUCUGUAGCAAGGUUAACCGAAUAGGGGAGCCGAAGGGAAACCGAGUCUUAACUGGGCGUUAAGUUGCAGGGUAUAGACCCGAAACCCGGUGAUCUAGCCAUGGGCAGGUUGAAGGUUGGGUAACACUAACUGGAGGACCGAACCGACUAAUGUUGAAAAAUUAGCGGAUGACUUGUGGCUGGGGGUGAAAGGCCAAUCAAACCGGGAGAUAGCUGGUUCUCCCCGAAAGCUAUUUAGGUAGCGCCUCGUGAAUUCAUCUCCGGGGGUAGAGCACUGUUUCGGCAAGGGGGUCAUCCCGACUUACCAACC